GCUCGGGUGGCGGAAUUGGCAGACGCGCCAGCUUGAGGGGCUGGUGGGCUUCGGCCCAUGGAGGUUCGAGUCCUCUCCCGAGCA
RNAcentral lists this transfer RNA (84 nucleotides) under Planctomycetes bacterium GWC2_45_44. RNAcentral's name for it is "tRNA-Leu". It matches the Rfam family "tRNA". Rfam says of the family: Transfer RNA (tRNA) molecules are approximately 80 nucleotides in length. RNAcentral also lists the same sequence under 3 other names. The record is from RNAcentral. Lineage: Bacteria; Pseudomonadati; Planctomycetota.